This 392-nucleotide long non-coding RNA is filed under the name Mytilus galloprovincialis (Mediterranean mussel). Lineage: Eukaryota; Metazoa; Mollusca; Bivalvia; Mytilida; Mytilidae. The record is from RNAcentral.
AUGGAGAGUUGUCUCAUUGGCCCUCAUACCACAUCUUCUUAUAUCCAAUUAUGUCAAUAGUUAUUUUAAGAAUUCGUUUUAAUAGCAGAUCAGUGAUUUUUUCUAUUACAUUCAUCUGCAAAUGUUACAGAAAUGGGAAGAUUUGGAGCUUAACAUCUGUGUAUUAUGUAUACAUCUGUCUAUAAUAAAAGCAUGUGAACCCAACAUCUUCUUCCGUGGAUUCAAAACAGAAAACUAAACGUUGAGCAUAACGAUCCCAACCGAAAACCAUAUUGCAAGUGUACUUCACAGUGGUCAACCAAUACAUGAUGGCGUAAUUAAUUUUUAGCCAUGGCGUUAUCAGUUUUGUUUUAUCUUUAAGUUUGAAUGUCCCUCUAGUAUCUUUCAUCCCU